RNAcentral lists this ribosomal RNA (253 nucleotides) under uncultured bacterium. RNAcentral describes it as "partial 16S ribosomal RNA". It matches the Rfam family "Bacterial small subunit ribosomal RNA", at positions 524 to 776 of the family's 1533-position model. The record is from RNAcentral.
UACGUAGGGUGCAAGCGUUGUCCGGAAUUAUUGGGCGUAAAGAGCUCGUAGGCGGUUUGUCGCGUCUGCUGUGAAAACUCGGGGCUUAACCCCGGGUCUGCAGUGGGUACGGGCAGACUAGAGUGCGGUAGGUGAGACUGGAAUUCCUGGUGUAGCGGUGAAAUGCGCAGAUAUCAGGAGGAACACCGAUGGCGAAGGCAGAUCUCUGGGCCGUAACUGACGCUGAGGAGCGAAAGCGUGGGGAGCGAACAGG